RNAcentral lists this ribosomal RNA (118 nucleotides) under Castor canadensis (American beaver). The record is from RNAcentral. Lineage: Eukaryota; Metazoa; Chordata; Mammalia; Rodentia; Castoridae.
ACACACGGCCACACCACCCUGAAUGCACCUGAUCUCAUCUGGUCUUGGAAGCUGAGCAGGGUUGGGCCUGGUAAGUACUUACUUGGAUGGGAAAAAGAGCAGGCAGAGGCUGCCUGCC